Molecule: non-coding RNA, 456 nt
Organism: Arachis ipaensis
Lineage: Eukaryota; Viridiplantae; Streptophyta; Magnoliopsida; Fabales; Fabaceae
Source: RefSeq, a predicted model, not a curated record
AGUAACAACCAUACAUCAACAAAGUGUAUUGAUACAUCAACUAUAAUUCAAAAUAUGAACUUAGUGUAUUGUUCAACUAUACUAAAUUUAUCAGCUAUAAUCCUAGUGUUAUCUUCAUCCCCAUCAUCAUCAUAGCCCUCAUUAAUUCUUAUUCAAUUAAGUAGGUGGUGCUGCUGUAUCUCAAAGCUUGUUUAUGUGAAGAAAUGGUUGUUGUUGUUGAUGAAGUAAAGGCAUCACCUGCACAUAGAGCAAGGAUCUCAUCAGGUUAUAAAAUUGGAACUUACUCUGUACAGAAACCAUUCAUCAUUAUUGUGUCCAUUGAUUCAAACAAUGGGUUCAUGAAUUGAUCCUCUGUCCCAGGCUUCUCUGCCUCCUUAAUUUCAGGUUCAACAAGUAUGGAAGACUCAUGAUGAUCUUGUUCUUGCUCUUGCUCGAGCUCUUGAAGUGGAGGUUCAU